AUUGAACGCUGGCGGCAUGCCUUACACAUGCAAGUCGAACGGCAGCAUGAUCUAGCUUGCUAGAUUGAUGGCGAGUGGCGAACGGGUGAGUAAUACAUCGGAACGUGCCCUGUAGUGGGGGAUAACUAGUCGAAAGAUUAGCUAAUACCGCAUACGACCUGAGGGUGAAAGUGGGGGACCGCAAGGCCUCAUGCUAUAGGAGCGGCCGAUGUCUGAUUAGCUAGUUGGUGGGGUAAAGGCCCACCAAGGCGACGAUCAGUAGCUGGUCUGAGAGGACGAUCAGCCACACUGGGACUGAGACACGGCCCAGACUCCUACGGGAGGCAGCAGUGGGGAAUUUUGGACAAUGGGGGCAACCCUGAUCCAGCAAUGCCGCGUGUGUGAAGAAGGCCUUCGGGUUGUAAAGCACUUUUGUCCGGAAAGAAAUCGCACUUACUAAUAUUAGGUGUGGAUGACGGUACCGGAAGAAUAAGGACCGGCUAACUACGU
Molecule: ribosomal RNA, 489 nt
Filed under: uncultured bacterium
Lineage: Bacteria
Description: partial 16S ribosomal RNA
Rfam family: Bacterial small subunit ribosomal RNA
Source: RNAcentral